Molecule: long non-coding RNA, 397 nt
Filed under: Macaca nemestrina (pig-tailed macaque)
Lineage: Eukaryota; Metazoa; Chordata; Mammalia; Primates; Cercopithecidae
Description: lncRNA (ENSMNEG00000045634.1)
Source: RNAcentral
CUUAAUUGUAGACUCAGUGUGGAGUGGGACGACAUUUCAUCACCUUAUUUGUCAUAGCCGUCACUGUGAUCUCAAUACACAGUCCUGGUGACAAUCAAGUGUGUCAACACAAAAUUAGUUCAGCUUGCUUUUGUUACUCACGGUUUUAAAGAGGAAGAGGAGGAGCCUGUCCAGAGGCAGCACCCCCAGGGCAUCUGAUGCCAGAGGCAGAAGCCAGGCUGGAGGAUCACACAUGAGAAAGAAUUUCACCACACUUGGUUGAGUGUGCAACCGGGUUAUUUUAUCAGAAGACAGUGCUGGAAUUGAUCCUAAAGAAAAAGAAUAAAAGAUGUGUACACACUUAGAGCACAUAUUUGUUGCAGCUUUGUUUAUGAUACUGAAAAGUUUGAAAUGGUCU